GCGUAUCGUUCACGUUUCGAGGUUCUCACGUUGGCUUUCACUGCCACGAUGGUUCUGUCUCUUUUUUUGAAUAACGUCACGACACCCUUCGUGUCUCUAUUAUUCUCAUCGUCACUCUCAUACACGCUUCGUCAACUGCAAUCUCUUUUUCACGGAACACACGAUGGAUUCAAUGCUAAGUUACUCGCCGGCUGUCCACGAUAUACCAUCAGAAAUGGCCAGAACAGCUGGACCGGCGGGUGAAGGUUGCCUGGAGUAUAAUUAGUUUGCCUCGGUAUGGACCGGGCGACCUACCAACGGACUUAUGGACGGAUGGAAGCAUGGCCGCCACGAGAUAUACCCCAUACCUCUUCGACGGUCUCCUCCGUCUCGUCUAGGAGGGAGGAGUCUCUUUGUGCGAACACGUGUUCUUACCAUGGACACGCAGUGUCCCCUAGGAUGGAUACCAUUUCCUUUUCUUUGAGAAAUGAAAAAAAUUAUUAUGGAAGUGACACUCGGGAUAUAGCCAGUUACGGUGCAUGAUAAUGACAGAGUGCAAUUUCCCAGUGGAAUUUUUUUGCCGUCUUUGACGAUGGGAGUAUAAUGAACGAAAGAAAUGAGACGGAAAAAAAAUACUUUAAACGUAAUUUCGCGAGGCAAUUAAAACACGCCGCGGUAUAUAAUCUUCGCCGGUGCCAACUGACAUCUAAAUAAAAUAGCAGAUAUUAGACACAGUGCUAAAGCACUGAGAGCCACGGACACGAGAUACGUUCCUGUUGUCGUCGUCCCUCGAUGUGGACUUAGACUGGGAUUAACGCAGAGUCGCUACGCCAACUGCAAUACAGCGAGCUUGGCCUCAGUCUGUCGAGAGUCGUCGUGCGACGCUGGCCCUGAGACUGAUGCGUAUACGUACAGCUGUGCAGUGAGGGAUGCUGAUGAAAACCGUAAUCCUGGGAUUUCCUAUUGUGCUUCGUUUGGUUGAAGAAAUUCGUGCCCGAAGUCCCUUAUCAUUCUCCUGUCCGGUGUACGAGCGUUUAGACAACUGGACGGAGAACUGAUAAGGGCCCGAGGGUC
This is a long non-coding RNA of Cephus cinctus (wheat stem sawfly), 1053 nucleotides long. RefSeq lists it as uncharacterized. The record is from RefSeq and is a predicted model, not a curated record. The transcript has 3 exons. NCBI's taxonomy places the organism in Eukaryota, Metazoa, Arthropoda, Insecta, Hymenoptera, Cephidae.